GAGGCUUUAGGGGGAUAUCUAGGUAUAAACCAUAACAGAGGGCCUCAGAGGCUGGGCACUGGGGACCUUCCUCUGGGGGUAAGAUUCAGGAUGGCUGUAGAAGUGAGAGGCAAUGGGAAGGGCAGAGGGCUGUGUGGUGAGGGAAGUGGACCUAUGUGGGCAAGAGUGCUGGGAGGGCAGUUCUAGGGUCUGGCUGGAGCCCAUUUCUCGCAGGGGUCUGAGGACUGAGAUCUUCUCAAGGUGGAUGCACAGGCUCGUGGGGGAAGACGUGAAGCGAAAUGCUCUUGUUUUGUGUGUGAAAACCUAGGCUCCUACAAGGUGGUCCAGAGUGACGUGAGGAGAAAGGCGCCACCAUGGCAAGGGAGACAAUGUGAGUUUGUAAAAGAGAGAGCAAAUCAAGAAAGAAGAUGACCCUGGAUCAGCUGGGUCAGAUCAGAGCAAGACAGAACAAGUCAGGCUGUAAGAUACUGAGAGGGGACUUGGGUGACAAGGUUGCACCUCUAUGAAAGCACCAGAGCUGCUACUGGUUCUACUUGAGUGGGGAAGACAACUGGAAUACCUCGCAGACCUGCUGGCAUAUGAGCGGCUCUCUCAUCAGCUUCUCCACUGACCAGGAGCUACACUUCAUCUGGUGCAGGAAUGGAACCAGCCUGAGCUGAGUGCAUGGCCCCUGGCCAUCCCUAAGGCGAGGCAUAGCUCACACCCAGCAUUUGGGGAAGGCAGACCCCACCACCACCACCACACUGGAAGCAGAAGGAAAGACAGUGGUUUAGUGUGUGCAUUGAAAUGGAGCUGGGGCUUAUAAGGGAGACAGGGGCAGGUGAGCUCUGUUGCUGCCUUGUGGGACUGUGGCCCAGCCCCUUUCAUUGGUCCCUUUUGUGGGGACAGCUGCAGUUGAUCAGUAUAGCCAGG
Molecule: long non-coding RNA, 912 nt
Filed under: Heterocephalus glaber (naked mole-rat)
Lineage: Eukaryota; Metazoa; Chordata; Mammalia; Rodentia; Bathyergidae
Description: lncRNA (ENSHGLG00100048861.1)
Source: RNAcentral